CAGGUCCCGUCAAUUCCUUUAAGUUUUCCCGCCAUGGAGCACAGUCUUGUCACAGACAUCGCCAUCUGCAUCAUCGCCGCCUGGGCGGUUGCGGUGGUGUCGCAGAUUGCCCGGUUGCCGCUCCUGCUGCCUCCCGUAAGAGUACUCCUACGGGAGGCAGCAGUCGGGAAUUUUGGGCAAUGGGCGAAAGCCUGACCCAGCAACGCCGCGUGAAGGAUGAAAUCCUUCGGGAUGUAAACUUCGCAAGAACGGGAAGAAUAAGUAAGAGUUAAUAUCUCUUACGAUGACGGUACUGUUUGUAAGCUCCGGCUAACUCCGUGCCAGCAGCCGCGGUAAUACGGGGGGAGCAAGCGUUACUCGGAAUUACUGGGCGUAAAGCGUGCGUAGGCGGUUUUGUAAGACAGGUGUGAAAUCCCCGGGCUUAACCUGGGAAUGGCGCUUGUGACUGCAAGACUCGAGUGCGGCAGAAGGGGGUGGAAUUCCACGUGUAGCAGUGAAAUGCGUACAGAUGUGGAGGAACACCUGUGGCGAAAGCGGCUCACUGGACCACAACUGACGCUGAUGCGCGAAAGCUAGGGGAGCAAACGGGAUUACAUACCCCGGUAGUCCUGGCCC
Molecule: ribosomal RNA, 615 nt
Filed under: uncultured Acidobacteriota bacterium
Lineage: Bacteria; Pseudomonadati; Acidobacteriota
Description: bacterial SSU rRNA
Rfam family: Bacterial small subunit ribosomal RNA
Source: RNAcentral